GACGAACGCUGGCGGCGCGCCUAAUACAUGCAAGUCGAACGGGUCUCCUUCGGGAGGUCAGUGGCGGACGGGUGAGUAACACGUGGGUGACCUGCCCCGAAGUGGGGAAUAACGCUGCGAAAGCAGCGCUAAUACCGCAUAUGCUUAACGGUCCAAUCUGUUAAGCAAAGCAAGAGCAAUCUUGCGCUUUGGGAGGGGCCUGCGGCAGAUUAGCUAGUCGGUGGGGUAANGGCCUACCGAGGCGACGAUCUGUAGCUGGUCUGAGAGGAUGACCAGCCACACUGGGACUGAGACACGGCCCAGACUCCUACGGGAGGCAGCAGUAAGGAAUAUUCCACAAUGGGGGAAACCCUGAUGGAGCGACGCCGCGU
RNAcentral lists this ribosomal RNA (371 nucleotides) under uncultured bacterium. RNAcentral's name for it is "bacterial SSU rRNA". It matches the Rfam family "Bacterial small subunit ribosomal RNA", at positions 28 to 402 of the family's 1533-position model. The record is from RNAcentral.